Molecule: long non-coding RNA, 633 nt
Organism: Scylla paramamosain (green mud crab)
Lineage: Eukaryota; Metazoa; Arthropoda; Malacostraca; Decapoda; Portunidae
Exons: 2
Source: RefSeq, a predicted model, not a curated record
AGAGACAGAUAAUAUACACAUCAACUUAUGAAUAGUGGGUAAAAGAAAGAACCACUUGGACCACGUAAAACCAAGAAAUUUGAUUCACAGCAGAUAGUUGACAGGAGUUAUACAAUAUAAGCACUCUUAUUCUGCGUCAGUACAUAUACGUACCUUUAUCUCUAACAUCUCCGGAAAAAAAAAUGUAGUGAAUAUCUCGUUUUGUAUGAAGAGCUUGUCACACUGCGGCAUAGGAAGACAUGGCUUUUCUUUCUCUAAGUGAGUAAUUACGAGAAAAAAUAAGGUAUUUGUCAGCGUCUCGAUCAAUCCUCUACUAUAAUUGUUCACUCCCUUGCAUCAUGAACUCAGAAGCACUACGUAGAAGCAUGGUAACGGAAGAAGGGAUGAUAAUAAGAGUUGAUUCACUUUCCAUUCCUUUCCUUGCUACCCUACCAAACACACCAAAGCACCAUAAGAACAUAAAAAAUAUGGAAACCGCAAAAUGCCAAUUGAACUACACAAGGGAGCUCCCACGACACCAUCAACAUAUACAUUAUGUCUUGGUAACUUGUACUAUCCAUAUUAGGACAACACCCCAAUGAUCAAAGAAGACGUAUCAAGGCUUUGUUUGCAUUUAUUAAAUAAAUAGACAGU